AGUCGCAAGACCAAAGAGGGGGACCGUUCGGGCCUCUUGCCAUCGGAUGUGCCCAGAUGGGAUUAGCUAGUAGGUGGGGUAACGGCUCACCUAGGCGACGAUCCCUAGCUGGUCUGAGAGGAUGACCAGCCACACUGGAACUGAGACACGGUCCAGACUCCUACGGGAGGCAGCAUG
This 177-nucleotide ribosomal RNA is filed under the name uncultured bacterium. Its description in RNAcentral is "partial 16S ribosomal RNA". It matches the Rfam family "Bacterial small subunit ribosomal RNA", at positions 191 to 353 of the family's 1533-position model. The record is from RNAcentral.